RNAcentral lists this long non-coding RNA (232 nucleotides) under Lathyrus oleraceus (garden pea). Its description in RNAcentral is "Pisum sativum (pea) long non-coding RNA (PSAT_LNC041693)". The record is from RNAcentral. Lineage: Eukaryota; Viridiplantae; Streptophyta; Magnoliopsida; Fabales; Fabaceae.
GAGCACUGAAACACAAUUACAACUCAGAACGGUAACAUGAAUGGCAGAGGUAUUAAUGAUAACUUGGAAAAAGAGAUAAUUGUUAUUGAGAGAGAAUAAGAAAAACAAGAGGGAGAAGAAGAAGAAAAUUAAAAGGAGGUAGAAGAAAAAAAUAAUACAGAUGAAUUAGUUGAAAAUUCAAAAUAAAAAAAUAAAAAAGAGGAAGCGGAGUAAGGUGUGAAUGAGGAGUGGA